AUUGAACGCUGGCGGCAUGCCUUACACAUGCAAGUCGAACGGUAACGGGUCCUUCGGGAUGCCGACGAGUGGCGAACGGGUGAGUAAUAUAUCGGAACGUGCCCAGUAGUGGGGGAUAACUGCUCGAAAGAGCAGCUAAUACCGCAUACGACCUGAGAGUGAAAGGGGGGGAUCGCAAGACCUCUCGCUAUUGGAGCGGCCGAUAUCAGAUUAGCUAGUUGGUGGGGUAAAGGCCUACCAAGGCAACGAUCCGUAGUUGGUCUGAGAGGACGACAGCCACACUGGGACUGAGACACGGCCCAGACUCCUACGGGAGGCAGCAGUGGGGAAUUUUGGACAAUGGGCGCAAGCCUGAUCCAGCAAUGCCGCGUGCAGGAAGAAGGCCUUCGGGUUGUAAACUGCUUUUGUCAGGGAAGAAAUCUUCUGGGCUAAUACCCCGGGAGGAUGACGGUACCUGAAGAAUAAGCACCGGCUAACUACGUGCCAGCCGCCGCCGUAA
RNAcentral lists this ribosomal RNA (499 nucleotides) under uncultured bacterium. RNAcentral's name for it is "partial 16S ribosomal RNA". It matches the Rfam family "Bacterial small subunit ribosomal RNA", at positions 30 to 523 of the family's 1533-position model. The record is from RNAcentral.